This 95-nucleotide non-coding RNA is filed under the name Candidatus Microgenomatota. Its description in RNAcentral is "Microgenomates Woesebacteria SAM-I sequence". It matches the Rfam family "SAM riboswitch aptamer (S box leader)". From Rfam's summary of the family: The SAM riboswitch is found upstream of a number of genes which code for proteins involved in methionine or cysteine biosynthesis in Gram-positive bacteria. The SAM riboswitch acts at the level of transcription termination control. The predicted structure consists of a complex stem-loop region followed by a single stem loop terminator region. The record is from RNAcentral.
UAUAUAUCAAGAGGCGGCCAGGGACCCAGCCCCGUGACCCGCCAACAACCUCCUGCAGGGCAGGAAAGGUGCUAAAGCUGGAAUUACGAUAUGAG